Molecule: ribosomal RNA, 394 nt
Filed under: uncultured bacterium
Lineage: Bacteria
Description: partial 16S ribosomal RNA
Rfam family: Bacterial small subunit ribosomal RNA
Source: RNAcentral
AUACGGAGGAUGCAAGCGUUAUCCGGAUUUAUUGGGUUUAAAGGGUGCGUAGGCGGAUGAUUAAGCGUGAGGUGAAAUGCCACUGCUCAACAGUGGAACUGCCUCGCGAACUGGUUGUCUUGAAUGCUCCUGCCGUGGGAGGAAUGUGUGGUGUAGCGGUGAAAUGCAUAGAGAUCACACAGAACACCGAUUGCGAAGGCAUCUCACGAAGGGGUGGUUGACGCUGAGGCACGAAAGCGUGGGGAUCAAACAGGAUUAGAUACCCUGGUAGUCCACGCAGUAAACGAUGAUAACUAACCGCUGGGUCGUAGUGAUUCAGUGGCCAAGCGAAAGCGAUAAGUUAUCCACCUGGGGAGUACGACCGCAAGGUUGAAACUCAAAGGAAUUGACGGGG